AAACAACGUUGAAGUUUCAACGUUGAAUCCACAACCUUUUUUCAACGUUGAAACAACGUUGAAGGUGCAACAUAUUUUCAACGUUGAAUGUUCGUCGAUAUUUCAACGUUGAAACAACGUUGAAGCUGCAACAUAUUUUCAACGUUGAAUGUUCGUCGAUAUUUCAACAUUGAAACAACAUUGAAGCUGCAACAUAUUCUCAGCGUUUGAUGUUCGUUGAUAUUUCAACGUUGAAACAACGUUGAAGAUUCAACAUGUUUUCAACGUUGAGUAUUUGAUAUUGAAGAGUUGAAACAAGGUUUAAAAACACAAAGUUGACUUUUUCUUGAUUUCAACGUUGAAACAAUGUGGAAGAUGCAAUAUAUUUUCAACUUUAGGAAAGUCAGGAAAAUUAAACGUUGAAACAACUGCUAAUGAGUAUUGAACACUUUAGUUUUUAAGUCAAAAUAUAAAGGUGUCUUUAGAAAAUAUUAUAUAUAUAAUUAAUAAUUAUACAUAAUAAAUGAAACGCAUGCAUUAUGAAUUGAUUUACUCAAAAGAGUUGUGCCAACAGUUAGUACCAUCAAAGUAUUUUAAAUAGAAUACUAUAGAACAAAUAAAAAUAAUUAAUUCAAUUCAUUUAUUGAUAACACCAUUAUUUAUUCCGAAUUAAUGUUCUUAAAAUUAGAGUAAUAUAGAUCCGUGCCGUAUACUCUUGCGCAGAUUGUUAUACUCUAGCAAAUCUAAGAAGUCUUAUUUUAUUAGAUUGUGUUUUGUUGUGUGUAUUAAUUCUAUAAUCUUUCUUUUCACAAAAUAUAAAAAAAAAUCAAAUAAACGCAUAACAAUUUUCACACUGACAAUUGACCCCGGUCAAGUAGCAUUACUUAAGAUCCACUCCCUAAAACCUUCAAGAUAUCAGAUAAGGAGUGCCUCUCGCUUAGUUGGUCACUUUCAGUGUCAGGAUAACCUUGUUAUGCAAUUUUCUUGCUGGACAGAGUAUAGCUGUUUGCAGCUUAUCUAGGUCAAAAUUUGAAUUCAACUGAUGGACAAGAAGUGCGCGUCUCCUUUCUGUUCAUAUUUAAUGUAUUUUCAAGCUAUAUACACAAGGAUUAAGGCUGGAAUAUCAACUUCUGCUAAUUUGCCAUAAGGUUCAAUAAACUAGUGGUGCAGGGAAUUGAUUGUAUAGUCAGCCUUGGUUGCAUCAGAUUCUUCGCCCGGGAAAAUUAUACAAAGGAAUGUAACAUUUUGCUUUUGCUGUAGAGGGUGGAUUCUCGUGUUCAUUUCUUUCAUUCGUGGGACUUAACUAUAUGCAAGAUUAAAAUCAAUGGAUCCGCCACUUUGUGGAACUUAGCAGUGUAGGACAGACGCGAACUUUGAAGAACCUGGAUGUAAUUACUGUGACCCCCUUUUCACUAGGAUUAUAAAUUUUGUCAAGCAGUGAUUUUUGAGUUUCAGUGAUUGAAUCCGAAUUUGUGUUUGUCUUUAAAGUACAGACUAAAAUAAAUUCUCUCACAAUCGUAAAACUUGAUUAUAACAUAUAAUUAUAAAUAUUACGCAACUUGAAUAAAAAAAUGAUUAAAAUUUGAAAUAUAGCCUAUUUGUUUAUAAAGCAAAAUGAAAUAUGAAUUCAACGUGAUUUCAACCAAAUAUCAACGUUUGUACAACCGAAAAAUUUCAACCAAAUCUCAACCUAAUUACAACCUAUGUUCACUUUUGUUCAAGGUUGAUAUUUGACGUUGAAACAACGUUGAAGCUUCAACGUUGCAUCAACUUUCAUUUGCAACCAAAAAUCAACCAUAAAUCAACCAAAACUUCAACCCAUUUUCAACGUUUAUUCAACGUUGAAAAUUGACGUUGAAACAACGUCAUGUCUCAACGUUGCCUCAACUUUCAUAUGCAACCAAAAUUUAACGUUGAUUCAACGUUGAAGUGCGACGUUGAUUCAACGUUGAAUCAACGUUGAAAUGCCUGC
Long non-coding RNA from Saccostrea cuccullata (small rock oyster), 1951 nucleotides. RefSeq lists it as uncharacterized. The transcript is spliced from 3 exons. The record is from RefSeq and is a predicted model, not a curated record. Lineage: Eukaryota; Metazoa; Mollusca; Bivalvia; Ostreida; Ostreidae.